Molecule: long non-coding RNA, 7642 nt
Filed under: Populus trichocarpa (black cottonwood)
Lineage: Eukaryota; Viridiplantae; Streptophyta; Magnoliopsida; Malpighiales; Salicaceae
Description: long non-coding RNA (PTRI_LNC002956)
Source: RNAcentral
CCACUGUGAUGUACACCACAACACUUGAUCAUACAUUUGAUUGUAAGUCAUGAUAGAGGACCCAUUUGAAUAUAUCAGGAUCAUAAUUGAACAUUAGGCGCUAAAACCAUAUAUAAAUAGGAUGUCUUCACCUCUGUAAGCAUCAAAUAGUAAUGAGAAAAUGUCUAUUUUCAUCAAGCCUGCUUGGUAGAUCAGGAAACUAAAAAUAGACAGAACAUAAAAUCUCCUAUUUGAACAAUAGCAGACAGAACAAUUAGCAGGACCCAGAACCAAAACGAAGGAACUUAAAGCUCAAAUAAAGCAGCCAGAAGGUCAGUGAUAAUGAUAUCUAGGUAUCUCGACAGAGUAUUGAAAACAUCAUUCCCGCACUUCUCUUUAUGAGCAAGAAAGAGAUUUCAAGAAAAUAACCAAAAAUUUCAGCUUUUGACAUAUUAAUCUUGAAAUUCGUGGGAACCAGGCAAGUUAACUGUAUUCUGGAACAUAAUUUUGAAGAUUAACCCAAGAAAUAAGUAGUCAAUUUUAAAUUCAACGCGAUCCAAAAGCAUAAUCCAGUCCCAUUGAGCAUGCAUUUGAACUGCAUACUGGCUUUAGCAAAAAUACAAGUGAGUUGAAUCCAAAAUUAUCAUGUGCAGGAUAAUAUACCUCUGUUCUCCAGGUAUAACAGCUUCAUGUGCAGAUCAUCAACCAUUGUAUGGGAAGUGAUGGAAGCACUCCCACCCAGUGGAUUCCUUCUCAUUUCCCUCUCUAAAAUAUCGAUGCAUAACCUGUCUUUGUUUGCUUCCUGCCCUUGCUCUGUUUUAGCAUGAUAGUCUUUUGGCCUUGUCAACCUCCGGCAGAUACUAACAGCACUUUGCCCAUCUGAUGUCAAGUCCAAAGCAGAUGCUCCUUUGGCCAGCAACGAAACUAUCACUGAUGGCUCUUUCCGCAUUGCAGCAAUGUGAAGAACUGUGUAACCUCGCGAGUUUCUAAGAUUGACAUUAGCAAGACCAAGGCUAAGCACCUCAGACAUAAACUUGAGAUCACAGUAUGACGCACAAUAAUGGAGAGCGUUAGCAUCAUCUAAGGAUAUAUCAGACUCAGUCAGGAGAAGUUUCACAAGUUCAACAUCAUCUGAGUCCAAUGCCAUGUGUAUCCUCUUGAUUCUCUUUUCACGUAGGGGGUCCCCAGCCUCUGUGUUGUUCUCAUCUUCAGAAAUAGGUUUGCGGCGGAGCUGUUUAAUUUUGUCUGCAACUUCAUGGGGAAGCUCUUUCUCUAUAGAUAUGUUGUCAAGAUUAGACACUGCUAUUCUAUCAACACAUUGUGCAAUAAGCUGACUUGAUUGACAAUGGAAGGCAACCACAAGGAUUGGGAUCACAUCCUCCGCAAGAGCUUUCCGAACAAAGUUAAGAAGGCGUCUCUGAAAAAACAUGCCGAUUUGGAUCACUAUAAUUUUCUUCUGCUUUUUAUAGAUCCCAAAGGACAGUUUGGGAGAUGAAUAGAAGGGCCCAAAACCUAAUUUUUCUUGUCAAGUUAUUCUUGAUAAUUUCCUCAGCUAAUAAAAUGGCAUUUUAUAUAGUUACUGAAUGCCAGAAUCCACGAGGAAAUACUACAACAUAAUAGUAGAGAAAAACAACCAUUCCCAAGUUAUUCAUUAGGCUUGGGCAUUGACAUCCACAGUCCAGCAUAGAAAUCAAAUGAAUUAAUAUAUCAGAUCAUGCAUGCACUGCUUGAUACGAAUCAUUUGAAAUAUUCACACCUUGGGUGAAGGUGGCAAAACAGGUUGGAUCUCCAAUUCUCAAAGUUUAUUAACUAUAUUAGCAAAAGAUUAGCUAGGGUAGACAAAUACCACACAACUGUCAUGGCAAGUUCAAUUCCACCACAAGAAUCAAACUAUAAGCAAAUUACAGAAUCAGAACGGCCUAGGAGGCGCCAUCACACCUCAUCAAGCAUGCAAACAUCAUACAUAAUGAAUUGAAAAAUCUGUAUCACACUACAGUAAAACAAACUAACCUGGAAAAGUGAAACCAGCUCUGGAACUUGAAAUAUGGAUGAUGCAUACAUCAAUUCCACUGCAAAAGUAAUCGCAGGUCUACACGCAUCAUGAGCGCAUACAUUAUCAACACAUGUUGAGACUUCCAUUGGAGAUGGCUUGAGUUUUCCAGUGUACAAAUAGCUCAAGAAAAUUAGGAAGGCUUCAUAUCCAACAUUUCCAUAAGGUAACAAUUCACUCAUGCAAUAUCUUGUUGGGCAUUGGAAUGGGAGUAGAAGGCAUUGCAAACAUCAUAUCUACACAAAUGGAACUUCUGUGCUCUGCUGCUUUAAAAGGACCUGUAACUCUUCGUAGACAAUUCAAAGAUAAGAAAGAUAGUUUAUGCCAAAUCCUCAUGGAAAACCCACUAGAGCUGUUCCAUUUGGAUUCUAAAUCAGAAGUUGAAAGCAGCAAAAUGUUAUCCUCCCAGGGUCCUACUAACAAAUUGGAGAAAACAGCAUUCUUGUUGAGAUUGGGGUAUGUUGAGAACUCAGAUGAGAUGGCAAGAGCUCUAAAAAUGUUUCGAGGUAGAGGAGAUCAAUUACAAGAGAGGUUUGAUUGCCCGGUACAAGCUGGUUUGGACUGCAAUGUUGUCUCCAGCUUCAUCAAACAAGCUCCCAUGGUGCUAAACCAGACCAAAGAUGUAAUUGAAAAGAAGAUUGAUUGCCUGACAAACUUAGGCUGCUCGGUCAACUCACUGGUGGCAUUCCCAUCAUAUUUAUGCUACGACAUGGAGAGGAUUAAUCUUAGAUUUAGAAUGUAUACUUGGCUGAAGGAAAAGGGUGCAGCAAAACCCAAAUUGUCCUUGAGCACUAUCCUUGCAUGUUCAGACGCACGAUUCAUAAAAUAUUUUGUAGAUGUCCAUCCUGAAGGACCAGCAAUGUGGGAAAGUUUAAGGAACACGUCAGCUUCAAGCUAAGGCUAGUUCAACUUUUAAGUUUGUGUACAGUUUAUUUUUAUUGUUUAGUCAAACUGAUGCCAGUCAUUCAUUCCUACCGAUCUAAUUGCUGAACAUCUUUCUCUUUUCCAUACUUUUUAAUAAUUUUCUUAUAAAUCAUCCAUCUCAUGUUCUCCGUAGCUCACAAUAAGAUGGUUCUUGGUGUAGUUCAACUUGCAGAUUUUAGAUGGCACACAUUAAUGCAUGCACAAGGAUUUCAAUUUGUCUCGCAGCAUAUCUUCUGUGUUUGCAUGUGUGGCCAGCCUGCUAAUCAAAAUGUCUCUUUUUUGAAAAAUUCAUUUAAUUUAUGGAGGUUAUUUGUUGUUUUAAUGUUUUAGGAUUCUGAGGAAUUUCUUCAUUCCAGAUAAUUAUAAUAUGACUUCUUUUCCCUUCCACUUCAUGUUUGCUUCCAACUUUAUUUUCCUUUUAAUUGCUUGUUCACCACAACGCCAAGCAUUUUACUGAUGUCUUAUAGGUUGAAAGAUGAAUUUGUAUUUUCCAUCUGGGAAAUAAUGAUCAUCUAGUUGCAACUCAGAAAAACAAAAAGCUACAGAUUUUCUUGCAAUAACCGAAGUUUCAGUAGUGAUUUUCCAAUUGUCAUCUAUCACAAACAAAAGGACUAUGACCAAUUCAUGAGAUUUAUUCUUUAUUAAAUAUUUUCUUUUCAUCAACCUCUGCUUGACAAGAUUUGUGCCAAAAUAACAGAUGACAAGAAGAACAAAAGGCGGGAAAGCAUUCAAGGCUACAAAUUAUUCCAUAAAUAGAUUCCAGCUAUCAUUUGUAUGAGACUUCAAGUUCUUCAACCUAUGUGACUCUCCAUUGCAGAAUCUGGAUCACAUGUUAUCCUGCAUUUGAUCUCUCAGCUGUGCACAAGUCUCGUCCAGUGAUACAUCAGUCUUAGCAAUCAAAAGCGUCAGACGCCACACCAUCGAAAUGAGGAACAAUCAUGCUCGCAAUCAACACGGAAACCAAAAAUUUCUUCAUUUUUCUUCUCUAAAAAAAUGUAAGCAUUGUGAUCCCCCUUCCCGCAUCCAUUUAUAGAUUUAAUGUUAGACUUGCCCGUUAGUUUGGGUUGGAACUACGAAAGUACCAUCCCCAAGAUCCAUCCUCCAUCAGCUAUCCAUGUUGAAAGCUUUAGCUGACAAAUACCAGGGAGUGAAUCAAGGAUAAGGGUAUCUAUACGUCAUAAGGUUUUGACUACACGUCAUAGCAGAGUGCUCCAGACAAUAUGCAACUGUAUCAGUGCAUGUGGCUGUGUCAGUUCCAUCUUGGCGGUGUAACGUGGGUGUGCGAGCCCUAUCCAUAUUUAAUGUACAAAUGCAAUGUUAAAUCAUAUUCUUCUAUUUUCUCCAUCGAGCACUAUCUCCUCCUCAUAUUUUAUAGGUUAACUAGAUAGGCACCCAUGCAUCAUUUUUUUCUAUAAUUACUUUCUAUAAUUUUAGUUUAUUAUAAAUAAUGCAAUGAUUGUAGAUAAAAAUCUAAAACUUAGGGUAAAUUUAUGAAGCAAUUAUUUCAAGAAAAAAAUUAUUUAUAAUUAAUUUUUAUAGUCUUGAACUCCAGGCUAUAGUUAAUUUUUGUAGCCUUGAACUAUAAGUUUUCUUUCACCCAAUCAAAGAAUCUUAAAAGUUUGCAUUUCCUAGCUUCCAAGAUAAGAAAAUAAAGGGAGCACGGUAUUUCAUAUAUAUAUAUAUAUAUAUAAUUGUUAAUUAUAAGAUAAUAAAUUCGAAAUUUUGUAUGGAAUUACUUGUUACAUGUCAAAUAUGAUUUGUCAUGAUAUAAUCUAAUAAAAUUAUAUAAACAUUUUCAUCGUUAAUUUAAAAGAGAUUGCCAAUAUUUUACAUUCCAUACAGUAAUACGUGUUAGUUAUUUUCAUUAUUUUCUAUUAUUUUAUGAAGAUGUUAGUUUUUUUCCAAAUAAAUGGACUAAAAGAUUAUAAAAAUACACUUAAUUCAACCAUUUCAUUAUAUUAUUGACAGGUUUACAUGCAUUGAUGUUAUCAAUGUUGACCUAAAAAAAAAAAGAAGAAUUCUUUAUUUAAAAUUUACUAUAAAAAAUAACAAUUUUUUAUAGUAAAUUUUAAAUAAAAAAGAAUUCUUCUUUUUUUUUUAAAAAGAAAUCAAGUCAUGCCUAAAUAUAAUAUAUCUGGAAUGUGCCUUGGCUAUCCAUGUGUGGACAUAAGUCCACUGCAGGUUUCCAUUCAAAUCAGAUUGAAUGAUUACCUAUCAAAUUCAGAUAACAUUGCCAUCUCUGAUAGCAACAUGAUGGUAAUUCUCUAUGAAUGGUAUGAAUCUGUGGACACAACUCUCCCAUUGCAGAACUCGAACAUUUACAGUUUAUUUUUCCAAGACAAGGCACGAAGUUGAUAGUUUGAUGAACAAAAGUUCGUUGUAAACAAGACACUCUAUUCACACUUCUACAACAUAAAAAAACUGGGUUUCAGUUUUACAAGUCAUUGGUUAAAUGCAAAGGAAAAAAAAAAUACAUGGCACAGACCAAGACACGUUCUCAUGAUGUAAAAGGAAAAUGAUGUGCAGCUAUACCUAAUUCUCUAGCACAAACCCUGUCCCCUUCAAAGACAGGUCAAAAAGACAAGGGAAUAAAGCAGCUCCUUUUGUAGAAGGAGAAACUGCAAUAACCAGUCAAUGCCUGAUUCCUCUUCUUAUCUUGCUAUGACUGCAUUAGUACAAGAUUCCUGCUUCACUCUAGAAUUAGUGGCAUCCUACUUUCCAGGAAAGUUAUUUACUCAGAAAUCGAAUAUUUUCAAUUCAAUGGAAUAUAUGGAUUCUAAACAAGCAUUCAGUGCUGUAUUAUUAUUGAAGGGCCAAGGUUUUGGAAUCUUUACUGCUUUUAAUGACCGUAUAGGCAAACCAAUGACAGGCCUGUGGUGGAACAACAUGGUUGAAAAGGAAAUGAUGAAGCAAUCGUGUAUUCGAACAGAAGUAUUAAUUUCGGCGGUAAUCCAUCUUAGAGCAGGCAAAGAAGACAUGGCAAUACACAUGAACCGGUGAUCAGAUUUUCACAUCUAAAUAAAUCAGUUGCAAAUUUCUAUAAUUAUUGUUUUUUGCAGUAACUAGAGAAAAUUUCUAUGAGCUUUCGAAAUAAAAGCUUUAGAAGGCUUUAAUAAUACAGGCAUAUGAGCUUACAGAGCUAGUUCGCUCUUCGGUUAAAAUUGUACAGAGAAGCUUAUCAAAAUCUUUAACUAAUAUUAAGGCUUAAAUCAGAGACAAAGUGGCAUGCCCUCAUAGUUUCCUGAGCUUGUUACCAACACCAUCUUUUUGAGAAGAUGAGGAUGACGAGGAAGACAAAACAGAGCGGUUAAUCACAGCCUUGUCCUUGUUAAAUGCCUUUUGAACAUCCUCUUUAAGUUCCAUGAAACGUGUCCUCUUGAUUCUUUGUUCAUCUGGGGUGCCCUUUUCAAGGAAAAACAAAUCAGGGAGGUCAUCCUCCAUGAACUUAUCAAGCACUUCAGAGCAAUUAGGGAAGUAUCGUCGGCCCAUUUCCACUGUCAUUAUGACAAACACAAUUCAUAUGAGAAUAGUUGCAACGACUGUAUAGUUUAAAUUUCUAGACCAUAUGUGAUGUUUACUUUGCUUAAUUGUGAGGACUUCCUGGGGAUUCAAUAGUUUCAGUUAGCUUCAAAAUUUUAGGACUUUUGUGAUAAUAUGUUAUAACAUGUCCUGAGAUUGAUUUUUCAAACAAAAGGAUUUAAAGCUGGCAAGUACCUGUUUUCAUUAGGGCUUCCAUCCUAGAACGAAGUCUUUUGUUCUGCAUAAUUGGUGUCUCAUUCAGGUCAACCUCCCUCAAAUUCCCGCUAGAACCUUUUGAUGCAGCAAGACCAGCAAAUUCUGAUGUUGUUGCAGCAUGUGCAAUGUCCAUUGCUAGCUUUGCUUCAGUAGGGAAGAAUAAUCGUGCAAAUGCCACUGUGAUGUACACCACAACACUUGAUCAUACAUUUGAUUGUAAGUCAUGAUAGAGGACCCAUUUGAAUAUAUCAGGAUCAUAAUUGAACAUUAGGCGCUAAAACCAUAUAUAAAUAGGAUGUCUUCACCUCUGUAAGCAUCAAAUAGUAAUGAGAAAAUGUCUAUUUUCAUCAAGCCUGCUUGGUUGAUCAGGAAACUAAAAAUAGACAGAACAUAAAAUCUCCUAUUUGAACAAUAGCAGACAGAACAAUUAGCAGGACCCAGAACCAAAACGAAGGAACUUAAAGCUCAAAUAAAGCAGCCAGAAGGUCAGUGAUGAUGAUAUCUAGGUAUCUCGACAGAGUAUUGAAAACAUCAUUCCCGCACUUCUCUUUAUGAGCAAGAAAGAGAUUUCAAGAAAAUAACCAAAAAUUUCAGCUUUUGACAUAUUAAUCUUGAAAUUCGUGGGAACCAGGCAAGUUAACUGUAUUCUGGAACAUAAUUUUGAAGAUUAACCCAAGAAAUAAGUAGUCAAUUUUAAAUUCAACGCGAUCCAAAAGCAUAAUCCAGUCCCAUUGAGCAUGCAUUUGAACUGCAUACUGGCUUUAGCAAAAAUACAAGUGAGUUGAAUCCAAAAUUAUCAUGUGCAGGAUAAUAUACCUCUGUUCUCCAGGUAUAACAGCUUCAUGUGCAGAUCAUCAACCAUUGUAUGGGAAGUGAUGGAAGCACUCCCACCCAGUGGAUUCCUUCUCAUUUCCCUCUCUAAAAUAUCGAUGCAUAACCUGUCUUUGUUUGCUU